Long non-coding RNA from Rhagoletis zephyria (snowberry fruit fly), 202 nucleotides. RefSeq lists it as uncharacterized. Lineage: Eukaryota; Metazoa; Arthropoda; Insecta; Diptera; Tephritidae. The record is from RefSeq and is a predicted model, not a curated record.
GAAUUUUAUAUAAAUGGAGAACCUAUGGAAUGGAAUAUCUACUGAAGGUGUAGAAUCGCGUGACCUACAGGUGUUUUGUGACGAGAUACCUACAAAUCCUAUUCCUGAAGUAGAAUAUUAUUGGACAGGAAAAAAAUAUCUUAUAGUAUAUUAUGGACAUCAAUAUUUUAAAUUAAAACCCCGUGUGGAGGUUUGAAGGCAA